This 612-nucleotide ribosomal RNA is filed under the name Cicindela (Rivacindela) sp. JP-63a. RNAcentral describes it as "partial 16S ribosomal RNA". It matches the Rfam family "Bacterial large subunit ribosomal RNA", at positions 1844 to 2739 of the family's 2925-position model. The record is from RNAcentral. Lineage: Eukaryota; Metazoa; Arthropoda; Insecta; Coleoptera; Carabidae.
UUUAAGGUCUAACCUGCCCAAUGAGGAUUUAAAUGGCCGCAGUAUUUUGACUGUGCAAAGGUAGCAUAAUUAUUAGUUUUUUAAUUGAAAGCUUGUAUGAAGGGUUGGACGAGAUAAAAUCUGUCUUUAUUUAAAUUAAAAUAUAAUUUAACUUUUAAGUCAAAAGGCUUAAAUGUUUAUAAAAGACGAGAAGACCCUAUAGAUCUUUAUUUAAUUAAGAUUUUAAUAAUUUAGGAUUAUUUUAAUUUGGAGUUUUAAUUAAAUUUUAUUGGGGUAAUAUAAAGAUUAAAUAAAUUCUUUUUAUUUAUAACAUUAAUUUAUGAAUAUAUGAUCCAUUAAUAUUGAUUAUAAGAUUAAGUUACCUUAGGGAUAACAGCGUAAUUUUUUUGGAGAGCUCAUAUCGAUAAGAAAGUUUGCGACCUCGAUGUUGGAUUAAAAAUUAGCUUGGGUGCAGAAGCUCAAGAUUUUGGUCUGUUCGACCAUUAAAUUUUUACAUGAUCUGAGUUCAGACCGGCGUAAGCCAGGUCGGUUUCUAUCUUUAUUUAGAUAAAAUAUUUUAGUACGAAAGGACCAAGUAUUUAAUAUAAUUAUAUUUAUUUUUUGAAUAAUAUU